GACGAACGCUGGCGGCGUGCUUAACACAUGCAAGUCGAACGGAAAGGCCCUGCUAUCGUGGUGUUCUCGAGUGGCGAACGGGUGAGUAACACGUGAGUAACCUGCUCUACACUUUGGGAUAACUUCAGGAAAGUGGGGUUAAUAUCAUAUCGCAGCUCCUCCUGCAUGGUGGGCGUUGGAAAGUUUGGGCUUUUGGGGUUGGACGCGGGGCUUAUCAGCUUGUUGGUGGGGUAGUGGCUGACCAAGGCUUGGACGGGUCCGCCGCAGUAGAGGGUGACCGGCCUCAUUGGGACUGCGAGACGCACCAGUGGCGAACGGGGGGCAGUGGUGGGGAGUAUUGCACAGUGGGCCGAAGCCUGAGGCAGAAGCGCCGCGUGCGGGAUGACGGCCUGCGGGUUGUAAACCGCUUUCGCCUGAGACGAAGCGGGAGUGACGGUAAUGGGUAAAGAAGCACCGGCUAACUACGUG
Molecule: ribosomal RNA, 468 nt
Filed under: uncultured bacterium
Lineage: Bacteria
Description: partial 16S ribosomal RNA
Rfam family: Bacterial small subunit ribosomal RNA
Source: RNAcentral